GAUGAAGAACGCAGCGAAAUGCGAUAAGUAGUGUGAAUUGCAGAAUUCAGUGAAUCAUCGAAUCUUUGAACGCACAUUGCGCCCCUUGGUAUUCCAUGGGGCAUGCCUGUUCGAGCGUCAUUUGUACCUUCAAGCUCUGCUUGGUGUUGGGUGUUUGUCUCGCCUCUGCGUGUAGACUCGCCUCAAAACAAUUGGCAGCCGGCGUAUUGAUUUCGGAGCGCAGUACAUCUCGCGCUUUGCACUCAUAACGACGACGUCCAAAAGUACAUUUUUACACUCUUGACCUCGGAUCAGGUAGGGAUACCCGCUGAACUUAAGCAUAUCAAAAGCGGAGGA
RNAcentral lists this unclassified non-coding RNA (336 nucleotides) under soil metagenome. RNAcentral's name for it is "partial contains 5.8S ribosomal RNA, internal transcribed spacer 2, and large subunit ribosomal RNA". The stretch from base 1 to 120 matches the Rfam family "5.8S ribosomal RNA", at positions 35 to 154 of the family's 154-position model. The record is from RNAcentral.